AACGCCCGGUUACAUUCCGAACCCGGUAGCUAAGCCCUCCAGCGCCGAUGGUACUGCACUCGGGAGGGUGUGGGAGAGUAGGACGCCGCCGGAC
This 94-nucleotide ribosomal RNA is filed under the name Actinoplanes cyaneus. RNAcentral also lists the same sequence under 3 other names. Lineage: Bacteria; Bacillati; Actinomycetota; Actinomycetes; Micromonosporales; Micromonosporaceae. The record is from RNAcentral.